AAAUGACUGGAGCCAAGAGCCUGUCACGCUCGCGGUAUUCAGUGCAAGGUCUGAUCGCGUCUUCUGUCACUCAAGGCCUGAGGGCGCGGAGCCUGGAGCUCUAUCCAUUAAGGGCGCUGGGGUGGGAACUGUCCAAUCAGGUUCACAGUCAGAGAGGAAGGGGUGGCUCCCGGUACCUGGCGGGGCCUUUGUCUCUUGCUCCAGCCAGAGCUCGAGGUUAGCUCUUCACUGCCCUGUGUCUUCUUUCCAAGGGUCUCGGUGAUUCGGCCACAGCCUCAGCCUCCAUCACGCGGUGAACUGAUGGUGCUGGAAGAUUCAUAGACUCCAGGACAUUCCUGAAGCCGAGAAAAGGUUAAGUAGGGUCUGGCCUGGAAUACUCUCCUAGAUGAAGAUAGCCCAACCAUGAGCCACCUUCGAAGCAGAUGAGAUGAAAUUAAAGCUCUUCAACUCCUAAAGGCCCAGAGACUAUCACAAAAGAGGUGGGCAUGUGAGAUUGUAAGAACUGAUUUUGAGAGAUAAAAUAAGUUCAGUUUUUCUAUACAUUAAUCAUUAAUGUCAAAGGCACACUAAUGCAAGACCAGAAUAGGGGCCCCAGUGUUAGAUUAACAAGGUUUUCUUGAAGCAUUAACUGACUCCUUAAUAAAGGCUUAUAGAAGUUAUAUCUCAUGGUCAAGAUUAGAAUUUUAUAGAUUGUUCAUAACAUUUUGAAAAACAAAUUUAAUUGGCUUUAUGCUGUUUUAUUGAAGAUUAUUGUUUGGAAAAUUAAGUCUUGUCUCCCAAAGAAUGAAGGUUUUUUCUUUUUUUGUUUUUGAAAUCUUUAUUACUUUGGUCAAAUUAAUGACUUAUUUUACAAUGACCUGUGACAUCAGGUGUUUUAAAUCUUUGAUAUUUGACUGAGAUUCUUUCUGUGGAACAAAGUUCCAUCAAACUUUCCAAAAUCAAAUUAUAAAUUAUGUAUUUUUCUUACCUAAUCCUUUAAAAUAUUAUGUUCCCUAAAGUUUAAAAAUGACAUAAUUUUGCUUAUUUCUUAUAAAAAUUAUACAGAGAACGUUGUUGAAUAUGAAAUGGUGUUUGGUUUUUUUGGGCUGUGUUUGUAUAAGUAUAUUAUUGGUAUUUGUUCUAAAAUUAUGGGAAACUCCUAUAAUUCUUAUAUGACUUAGUGUACAUUAUUAGCAGUAAUUAUAAUUGCUAUAUUGCCACAGAGGUAACAAAUUUCCUUGUCAAUUGUAUCUUUGACUUUGGUUGCCUUAAAACUUUUUGUCAUUCACAGACAAUUGUAUUGUUUUGGUCCUCUUUAGAAGGUGGUUUUAUAAUCAGCUAUAAAACUCUUAACAGGUGGUCUUGAAUGCAAGUUUCUGAUAACUUUGGAGAUGGUGACAUCAGAGUAGAGGAAAAAAAUUCAGAACUCAUGGAGAGCUGAAAUGUUCAUGAAUAUUAAGCAGAACAAGGAUUAAGUGCAUGCAUUGAACUAUUAGAAGACUGAAGUAAUCUUUUUUUCUUUUUUUGAGUCGGGGUUUCACUCGGUCUUCCAGGCUGGAGUCCAGUGGUGUGAUCUCAGCUGAAUUACAGAUGCAUGCCACCACACCUGGCUAAGUUUUGUAUUUUUAGUAGAGACGGGGUUUCACCAUGUUGGUCAGGCUGGUCCAAACUCCUGACCUCAUGAUCUGCCUGCUUGGCCUCCCAAAGUGUUGGGAUUAUAGGCGUGAGCCACCGAGACCAGCUGAUCUUUUUGACUUUUUACUUAAAAUGUUGCUGAUCCUUUCUUUUGUUUUCUGAGUCAAGGAAACCUACCUUUUGAUCUAUUUACAGCUUUUAACAAGUUAGUAUACUCCUGUGAACAAAAUUUAAAGCAUAUUUAAUUCUCUCUACUUGAUUUCUCUAGAAUUUGGAAACUAUUUGUGAGUAUUCUUAACUUAUGGCAAUACAUUUAUUUGCAUAAGUGCAUUAAGAAUGUUUUUUUUUGUUUGUUUUGUUGUGUUAUUUAUUUAUUUUUUGAGACAGAGUCUCACUCUGUUGCCAGGCUAGAGUGUGGUGGCCCGAUCUUGGCUCACUGCAACCUCUGCCUCCUGGGUUCAAGCAAUCCUCCUGCCUUGGCCUCCCAGGUAGCUGGGACUACAGGCGAGCGCCACCAUGCCCAGCUGAUUUUUUAUAUUUUUAGUAGAGAUAGGGUUUCACCAUGCUGGCCACUAUGGUCUUGAUCUCUUGACCUCAUGAUUCACCCAUCUUGACCUCCCAAAGUGCUGUGAUUACAGGCAUGAGCCACCACGCCCUGCCAAGAAUCUGGUUUUUAUAAGUAACAGGACACAAUUGGAGAAACUGGUUAUUUUACCAACACUUUGACUGGAAUGGUGUUCCUUUUUUAAGGAAUCAAACUUGAUUUAUGGAGCCAAUUAAAAGCCCCUCGGGAAAACUGGAUUCAAAUCUUGUCUACAUAUUCCCUGUACUAUGACAUUUUUACUUACCACAGGUCAGAAAUCCUGAAGGUCACUUUCUGACAAACUCAGGAACCCCAGGUUUAUCUUGGAGCCUCAAGAGGAGAUAAAUUCACCCAACUCAGGCUGGAGUGCAGUGGAAUGAUCUUGGCUCACUUCCGUCUCCGCCUUCCAGUUUCAAGUGAUUCUCCUGCCUCAGCCUACUGAGUAGUUGGGAUUACAGGUGCCUGCCACCACACCCAGCUAAUUUUUGUAUUUUUAGUAAAGAUGGGGUUUCACCAUGUUGGCCAGGCUGGUCUCAAACUCCUGACGUCAUGAUCUGCCCGCUUCAGUCUCCCAAAGUGUGAUUACAGAAACCACCCCACUGGCAGGAGACGGCGGUAGCUGUGGUCAUUGAAAACAAGCUCCUGCUGAUAAAUCUCAGACACCAGACACAGAAGAACCUGGAGACCCUGCCAGAGAGCUUGAGGCAAAUGGAUGGACUGUUGGAGCAGCUGAGGGUGAAGCAGCACAAACUCCUCAAAGUUGAAUAGCAAAGCAGCCACCAGAGAUGGACAAGAAAAAUGAACAAAGAAAAUUAGCAGAAAUCAAAGGCAGAUGCUAAAGCAGUGCAAAAUCAUUCAUUCAAUGAUAGAAAUGAAAUUGAUGAAGGAGUCUGGAAAAUGAAUGACAGAAGAGAAUUAAACAGCAGUGACCAUAGUAAGGUCCUGACGAUUCUGGUCCACUGAAUCCCAUCAUCCCUAAGACAGUAAAUAUCAUCACAGUCACCACCAGCAAGUUACCACCACAGCAUUUCCUGUUUGUUCCAAAAUGAAUAAAGAUGAUUCUCAUCACAAGGGCAAAUACAAAGUAGUUUAGUAUGUUUUUAACUAAACUAAAGGUGUUUGGUUUACUUUUUCUAAGUUCUCAUAAUUCUGAAAAUGCAGUUGACACUUGUGUGGCUCAUGAUGUUUUUAAUAGUCUAAUGCUACUUGAAUUGUUCAAAAACCACUGUAUUUUAAAUUAAGAUGAAUAAACGGUCCUUUGAAAACUGGCACAAGGCAAGGAUGCCCUCUGUCACCACUCCUAUUCAACACAGUAUUGGAAGUUCUGGCCAGGGCAAUCAGGCAAGGGAAAGCAAUACAGCGUAUCAAAAUAGGAAGAGAGGAAGUCAAAUUGUCUCUGUUUGCAGAUGACAUGAUUGCAUAUUUAGAAAACCCCAUCUUCUCAGCCCAAAACCUCCUUAAGCUGAUAAGCAACUUCAGCAGUCUCAGAAUACAAAAUCAAUGUGCAAAAAAUCACAAGCAUUCCUAUACAUUAAUAACAGACAAACAGAGAGCCAAAUCAUGAGUGAACUCCCACUCACAAUUGCUAGUAAGAGAAUAAAAUACCUAGGAAAAUACAGCUUACAAGGGACAUGAAGGACCUCUUCAAGGAGAACUACAAACCACUGCUCAAGGAAAUGAGAAGAGACAAACAAAUGGGAAAGCAUUCCAUGCUCAUGGAUAGGAAGAAUCAAUAUCGUGAAAAUGGCCAUAGUGCCCAAAGUAAUUUUAUAGAUUCAAUGCUAUCCUCAUUAAGCUACCAUUGAUUUUCUUCACAGAAUUGGAAAAAACUACUUUAAACUUCAUAUGGAACCAAAAAAGAGCCUGCACAACCAAGACAAUACUGGGCAAGAAGAACAAAGCUGGAAACAUCAGGCUACCUGGCUUCAAACUAUACUACAAGGCUACAGGAACCAAAACAGCAUGGUACUGGUACCAAACAGAUAUGUAGACCAGUGGAACAGAACAGGGCCUCAGAAAUUGAUAUCACUCUGUCACCAUCAAAAAAUACUUAUUUAGUGUCAAAUCCUACUGUGAAAUAGCAGAACUGUGGGAUUUGUAAAGUGGAAAUGCAGAAUUCAAAACAGAGAUAUAUACCAAUGGAACAGAGCAGAGGCCUCAGAAAUACCACCACACGGCUACAACAAUCUGAUCUUUGACAAACCUGACACACACAAGCAAUGAGAAAAAGAUUCCCUAUUUAAUAAAUGGUGUUGGGAAAACUGGCUAGCCAUAUGUAGAAAAUUGAAACUGGACCCCUUUCUUACCCGUUUUACAAAAAUCAACUCAAGAUGUAUCAAAGACUUAAAUGUAAGACCUAAGACCAUAAAAAUCCUAGAAGAAAACCUGGGCAGUACCAUUCAGGACAUAGGCAUGGGCAAAGCCUUCAUGUCCAAAACACCAAAAGCAGUGGCAACAAAAGCCAAAAUUGACAAAUGGGAUCUAAUUAAAUUAAAUAGCUUCUGCACAGCAAAAGAAACUCAUCAGAGUGAACAGGCAACUACAGAAUGGGAGAAAAUUCUUGCAAUCUAUCCAUCUGACAAAAGGCUAAUAUCUAGAAUCUACAAAGAAUUUAAACAGUUUACAAGAAACAAACAAACUGCCCCAUCAAAAAAUGGGCAAAGAUAUGGACAGACACUUCUCAAAAGAAAACAUUUAUGCAGCCAACAGACACAUGAAAAAAUGCUCAUCACUGGUCAUUAGAGAAAUGCAAAUCAAAACCACAAUGAGAUACCAUGUCACACCCGUUAGAAUGGCAAUCAUUAAAAAGUCAGGAAACAACAGUGCUGGAGUGGAUAUGGAGAAAUAGGAACACUUUUACACUGUUGGGAGUGUAAAUUAGUUCAACCAUUGUGGAAAACAGUGUGGCAAUUCCUCAAGGAUCUAGAACUAGAAAUAACAUUUGACCAAUUCCAUUACUGAGUAUAUACCUAAAGGAUUAUAAAUCAUUCUAUGAUAAAGACACAUGCACACGUCUGUUUAUUGUGGCACUAUUCACAAUAGCAAAGACUUGAAACCAACCCAAAUGUCCAUCAAUGAUAGACUGGGUAAAGAAAAUGUGGCACAUAUACACUGUGGAAUACUGUGCAGGUGUAAAAAAGGAUGAGUUCAUGUCCUUUGCAGGGACAUGGAUGAAGCUGGAAACCAUCAUUCUCAGCAAACUAGCACAAGAUCAGAAAACCAAACGCUGCAUGUUCUCACUCAUAAGUGGGAGUUGAACAGUGAGAACACAUGGACACAGGGAGGUGAACAUCACACACUGGGGCCUGUCAGGUGCUGGGGGGCUAAGGGAGGGAUAACAGGAAAAAUACCUAAUGUAGGUGACGGGUUGAUGGUUGCAGCAAACCACCAUGGCACAUGUGUACACGUAUGUAAUAAAACUGAUGUUCUUCACAUGUAACCCAGAACUUAAAGUAUAAUAAUAAAAAGAAGAAUAAAUAUUUGUUUUAUAUAUUUAAAGCUUAGAAUCACAAAUAAUGCUUCUGUUUAUGAUUUGAAAACUUCAAAGUUUGGUUUUCCUUCUGUACAUACACAAAACAUUGUAUUGUGCUGAAAUAUUUGUUUUUUAAAGUGGCAGUCAUAGUUCCUGUCUGUCCGGAUAUAUAUAUGUAUAUAUGUUAAGCAUAACAUAAGAAAGAAAUUUCAUUAGCUGGGCAUGAUGGCUCACUCCUGUAAUCCCAGAACCUUGGGAGGCUGAGGUGGGUGGAUUGCCUGAGGUCAGGAGUUUGAGACCAGCCUGGCCAACAUAGUGAAACCUCGUCUCUACUAAAAAUACAAAAAAUUAGGUGGGCGUGGUGGCAGGCACCUGUAAUCCCAGCUACUAGGGAGGCUGAGGCAAGAGAACGGCUUGAACCUGGGAGUCAGAGGUUGACGUGAGCCGAGAUCACACCAUUGCACUCCAG
Molecule: long non-coding RNA, 6138 nt
Filed under: Homo sapiens (human)
Lineage: Eukaryota; Metazoa; Chordata; Mammalia; Primates; Hominidae
Description: PREDICTED lncRNA (TCONS_00140864)
Source: RNAcentral